UACAGAGGGUGCGAGCGUUGUCCGGAAUCACUGGGCGUAAAGCGCACGCAGGCGGUCUGCUAAGUUUGGAGUGACAGUUGGUGGCUUAACUGCCAAAGUGCUUCGAAAACUGACAGACUUGAGGGCUUCAGAGGGACACGGAAUUCCGGGUGGAGUGGUGAAAUGCGUAGAGAUCCGGAGGAACACCAAAGGCGAAGGCAGUGUCCUGGGGAGUACCUGACGCUCAGGUGCGAAAGCCAGGGGAGCGAACGGG
RNAcentral lists this ribosomal RNA (253 nucleotides) under uncultured bacterium. RNAcentral describes it as "partial 16S ribosomal RNA". It matches the Rfam family "Bacterial small subunit ribosomal RNA", at positions 524 to 776 of the family's 1533-position model. The record is from RNAcentral.